UAGCAUGACAGGCCAAAUACUAUAAUUGGGACUCAUAUUCCCAUUAGGUUGAAACCUGUCACUUGCUAAACCUAAUCGAACAUUUCUUAACUCAGCUGCAAUGGUAGGAUAACGUCCAUCGAGAGAUUUCCAUUCAAUUGAGUCAGAUGGAUGUCGCAUGACACCAUCUUUAAUAUUUUCCUCCUUGUGCCACCUCAUCUUUUUUGUCGUUUCUUUUGCCAUGUAUAAUCUUUGGAGCCUUGGUUUGAUUGGAAAAUGUCGUAGUACUUUAUGAGCCACUUUCUUGCCUUUAUGUUCUUCCGACUUCC
Molecule: long non-coding RNA, 308 nt
Filed under: Capsicum annuum
Lineage: Eukaryota; Viridiplantae; Streptophyta; Magnoliopsida; Solanales; Solanaceae
Description: long non-coding RNA (CANN_LNC002169)
Source: RNAcentral